RNAcentral lists this ribosomal RNA (440 nucleotides) under uncultured bacterium. Its description in RNAcentral is "partial 16S ribosomal RNA". It matches the Rfam family "Bacterial small subunit ribosomal RNA", at positions 338 to 795 of the family's 1533-position model. The record is from RNAcentral.
CCUACGGGAGGCAGCAGUGGGGAAUAUUGCACAAUGGGGGAAACCCUGAUGCAGCGACGCCGCGUGAGUGAAGAAGUAUUUCGGUACGUAAAGCUCUAUCAGCAGGGAAGAAAAUGACGGUACCUGACUAAGAAGCCCCGGCUAACUACGUGCCAGCAGCUGCGGUAAUACGUAGGGGGCAAGCGUUAUCCGGAUUUACUGGGUGUAAAGGGAGCGUAGACGGCAGCGCAAGUCUGGAGUGAAAUCCCAUGGCUUAACCAUGGAAGUGCUUUGGAAACUGUGCAGCUAGAGUGCAGGAGAGGUAAGCGGAAUUCCUAGUGUAGCGGUGAAAUGCGUAGAUAUUAGGAGGAACACCAGUGGCGAAGGCGGCUUACUGGACUGUAACUGACGUUGAGGCUCGAAAGCGUGGGGAGCAAACAGGAUUAGAUACCCGUGUAGUC